UACACAAUGCAGCCGAGCGGUAGAGAUUCUUCGGGAUCUUGAGAGCGGCGUACGGGUGCGGAACACGUGUGCAACCUGCCUUUAUCAAGGGGAUAGCCUUUCGAAAGGAAGAUUAAUACCCUAUAAUAUAUGAUUCGGCAUCGGAUUAUAUUGAAAACUACGGUGGAUAAAGAUGGGCACGCGCAAGAUUAGCUAGUUGGUGAGGUAACGGCUCACCAAGGCGACGAUCUUUAGGGGGCCUGAGAGGGUGAUCCCCCACACUGGUACUGAGACACGGACCAGACUCCUACGGGAGGCAGCAGUGAGGAAUAUUGGACAAUGGGUGCAAGCCUGAUCCAGCCAUCCCGCGUGUAGGAAGACGGCCCUAUGGGUUGUAAACUACUUUUAUCUGGGGAUAAACCUACUUACGUGUAAGUAGCUGAAGGUACCAGAUGAAUAAGCACCGGCUAACUCCGUGCCAGCAGCCGCGGUAAUACGGAGGGUGCAAGCGUUAUCCGGA
This 499-nucleotide ribosomal RNA is filed under the name Elizabethkingia miricola. RNAcentral's name for it is "bacterial SSU rRNA". It matches the Rfam family "Bacterial small subunit ribosomal RNA", at positions 50 to 549 of the family's 1533-position model. The record is from RNAcentral. Lineage: Bacteria; Pseudomonadati; Bacteroidota; Flavobacteriia; Flavobacteriales; Weeksellaceae.